GCGGGGGUUGCCGAGAGGAAAAGGCGCCAGAUUCAGGGUCUGGUUCCGGAGGGAUCCGUGGGUUCAAAUCCCACCUCCCGCA
RNAcentral lists this transfer RNA (82 nucleotides) under Candidatus Methanolliviera sp. GoM_asphalt. RNAcentral's name for it is "tRNA-Ser". It matches the Rfam family "tRNA". From Rfam's summary of the family: Transfer RNA (tRNA) molecules are approximately 80 nucleotides in length. Their secondary structure includes four short double-helical elements and three loops (D, anti-codon, and T loops). Further hydrogen bonds mediate the characteristic L-shaped molecular structure. tRNAs have two regions of fundamental functional importance: the anti-codon, which is responsible for specific mRNA codon recognition, and the 3' end, to which the tRNAs corresponding amino acid is attached (by aminoacyl-tRNA synthetases). tRNAs cope with the degeneracy of the genetic code in two manners: having more than one tRNA (with a specific anti-codon) for a particular amino acid; and 'wobble' base-pairing, i.e. permitting non-standard base-pairing at the 3rd anti-codon position. Lineage: Archaea; Methanobacteriati; Methanobacteriota; Candidatus Methanoliparia; Candidatus Methanoliparales; Candidatus Methanollivieraceae. The record is from RNAcentral.